GACGAACGCUGGCGGCGUGGAUUAGGCAUGCAAGUCGGACGGUAGGGCUUUAUCGUAAGAUAGAGUUUGAGAGUGGCGAACGGGUGAGUAACACGUAGGAAUCUACCCUUAAGACGGGGACAACCCAGGGAAACUUGGGCUAAUACCGGAUGAGAGUGCGAGAGAUUGCAUUUAAAAGGAUGGCGAAAGUUGUCGCUUAGGGAUGAGCCUGCGGUCUAUUAGUUAGUUGGUGAGGUAAGAGCUCACCAAGGCGAUGAUAGAUAGGCGGCCUUAACGGGUGUCGCCCCCAUGGGAUUGAGAUACGGCCCAGACUCCUACGGGAGGCAGCAGUCGAGAAUAGUCUACAAUGGCCGGAAGGCUGAUAGUGCGACGCCGCGUGAACGAGGGAGCCCUUGGGGUGUAAAGUUCUUUUCUAUACGAGCAGUGCUAUAUAUAUGGAUAAUAUAUAUAGAGGAUAGGUAGUAUAGGAAUAAGCAACGGCUAACUCCGUGCCAGCAGCCG
This 501-nucleotide ribosomal RNA is filed under the name uncultured bacterium. Its description in RNAcentral is "bacterial SSU rRNA". It matches the Rfam family "Bacterial small subunit ribosomal RNA", at positions 28 to 517 of the family's 1533-position model. The record is from RNAcentral.